RNAcentral lists this ribosomal RNA (712 nucleotides) under Pseudomonas sp. B0326. Its description in RNAcentral is "bacterial SSU rRNA". It matches the Rfam family "Bacterial small subunit ribosomal RNA", at positions 11 to 718 of the family's 1533-position model. The record is from RNAcentral. Lineage: Bacteria; Pseudomonadati; Pseudomonadota; Gammaproteobacteria; Pseudomonadales; Pseudomonadaceae.
GUUUGAUCCUGGCUCAGAUUGAACGCUGGCGGCAGGCCUAACACAUGCAAGUCGAGCGGAUGAAGGGAGCUUGCUCCUGGAUUCAGCGGCGGACGGGUGAGUAAUGCCUAGGAAUCUGCCUGGUAGUGGGGGACAACGUUUCGAAAGGAACGCUAAUACCGCAUACGUCCUACGGGAGAAAGCAGGGGACCUUCGGGCCUUGCGCUAUCAGAUGAGCCUAGGUCGGAUUAGCUAGUUGGUGAGGUAAUGGCUCACCAAGGCGACGAUCCGUAACUGGUCUGAGAGGAUGAUCAGUCACACUGGAACUGAGACACGGUCCAGACUCCUACGGGAGGCAGCAGUGGGGAAUAUUGGACAAUGGGCGAAAGCCUGAUCCAGCCAUGCCGCGUGUGUGAAGAAGGUCUUCGGAUUGUAAAGCACUUUAAGUUGGGAGGAAGGGUUGUAGAUUAAUACUCUGCAAUUUUGACGUUACCGACAGAAUAAGCACCGGCUAACUCUGUGCCAGCAGCCGCGGUAAUACAGAGGGUGCAAGCGUUAAUCGGAAUUACUGGGCGUAAAGCGCGCGUAGGUGGUUCGUUAAGUUGGAUGUGAAAUCCCCGGGCUCAACCUGGGAACUGCAUCCAAAACUGGCGAGCUAGAGUAUGGUAGAGGGUGGUGGAAUUUCCUGUGUAGCGGUGAAAUGCGUAGAUAUAGGAAGGAACACCAGUGGCGA